CUUUUUAAAUUCUUUUUCUCUUUUUCUUAUUUCUCAUUCUGUUUUCUUUCUCGCCGAAACAUCCCCGCGCGCCUCUCCUCUCCCUCACUCCCGAACCCGACGCCAAAAGGAGCCCUAACCGCCGGCUACUCGGCGGUUCUCUCCUCUUCUUCCUCAUCCCCUGCCCCUCACGACGACAGCAUUCUCAGCCCUAGCACCGCCGCCCGACCGCCUGCCCUAGCCACCCGACGCCGACCACAGAAGCCGACGCCGACCCCAAUCGCCGGUGCCCUAGCCUCUGCCCCGACUCCAGUGACGCUGAUUCUUCUCUCCUCUGUCCAGCCGAAGCCUCGUCUGCCGUAGCCCUUGCUGUGGAGUUUCCAGCGCCGCCGCUGCAACUCACAGAGCCUCCCUUCCUCUUCUCGCGGACACCUGGAGCCGCCGAAAAUCGAGCAUCCGAACCCUAGGUUGGGUCCCUGAGCGCUGGCCGGAAUUUCUCUUCUGGUGUCUCUGUUUGACAGUGCCGAAGACAAGGAGUUGUGCCCUAGUUUUGCUUUUCACAGUGGUUCUGUCUUCAUUGUGAUCUGCCCUAGCAGAAUUGGGAAGGUCACGGAUUGGUGAGGUUUGGUGUAUUGUGGGGUGUUUUUGAUUUUUGGCAGCAACCCCAUCCCGCAGCGGUAAGGACUUUGACGCGAGACGAGUAUCUCGGAGUCAGAUCGGACCUUUCUA
Long non-coding RNA from Zingiber officinale, 708 nucleotides. RefSeq lists it as uncharacterized. The transcript is spliced from 3 exons. NCBI's taxonomy places the organism in Eukaryota, Viridiplantae, Streptophyta, Magnoliopsida, Zingiberales, Zingiberaceae. The record is from RefSeq and is a predicted model, not a curated record.